UACGGAAGGCAGCAGUGGGGAAUAUUGCACAAUGGGCGAAAGCCUGAUGCAGCUAUGCCGCGUGUAUGAAGAAGGCCUUAGGGUUGUAAAGUACUUUCAUCGGGGAGGAAAAACAAAACUAAUAAUUUUAUUUCUUGACGUUACCCGAAAAAGAAGCACCGGCUAACUCCGUGCCAGCAGCCGCGGUAAUACGGAGGGUGCUAGCGUUAAUCAGAAUUACUGGGCGUAAAGAGCACGUAGGUGGUUUUUUUAAAGUCAGAUGUGAAAUCCCUGGGCUUAACCUAGGAACUGCAUUUUGAAACUGAAAUACUAGAGUAUCAUAGAGGGAGGUAGAAUUCUAGGUGUAGCGGUGAAAUGCGUAGAUAUCUGGAGGAAUACCUGUGGCGAAAGCGGCCUCCUAAACGAAUACUGACACUGAGGUGCGAAAGCGUGGGGAGCAAACAGGGAUUAGAUACC
Molecule: ribosomal RNA, 456 nt
Filed under: uncultured bacterium
Lineage: Bacteria
Description: bacterial SSU rRNA
Rfam family: Bacterial small subunit ribosomal RNA
Source: RNAcentral